Long non-coding RNA from Zea mays, 767 nucleotides. RefSeq lists it as uncharacterized. Lineage: Eukaryota; Viridiplantae; Streptophyta; Magnoliopsida; Poales; Poaceae. The transcript has 2 exons. The record is from RefSeq and is a predicted model, not a curated record.
AUUGAGGCUUCCCAAGCUCUGUAGCCACGGGGGAAUUACGCCGAUGAGCAGACAGUUUGUUAGGAUGAGCACCUGCAUUGUCUCACCGCCGCGGAAAUUCCUGGUCAGCACCAAGCUUGUCAGGUUGGGCAGGUGUUGCAAGACCUGCAAUGUCUAUGCCAGGUUGUGAAACUAUUCCUGGUCAGCGAGAGGAGCUAUAGCGCCACUCAGAUAGUUGGUUCCAACAUCAAAAGUAUUAAGCUUCGGCAGCAAGCUGGAGUCGAUAGCAAUCUCACUAGAGAGCGAGUUGUUCCUCAAGCUGAUUACCCUCAGCAGUGGAGAACUUUACAGGGAAGCGGGCAACUCACCAUCCAGCCUAUUGGUGGCCAGGUUUACGAACUCUAGCCUCCUCAUCUCUCCAAAGACAUCAGGGAUGGAGCCUGUGAACUUGUUAUAGGACAAGUCAAGUUGCAUGAUCUGAGAGAGGUUACCAAGGUCACUGCCGAGGUUGCCAGUGAACUGAUUUUCAUGUAAGCUCACUCUCCUCAGGUUGGGCAACGUGUACAGGUCGUCGGGAUCCCGGUGAAAUAGUUGUCGUCGAGGGAGAGCUCUGUGAGCACCCUGCACCGACAUCAGAGAUGCAGGAUGUACAUCGGUACAUGUGUGUUGGUUUUUUGUUUAACCUUCUUUAUAAUAUUUGCAAGUUGCUUUAAAAUUGAGUGCUCAUAAGAUGCAUCAAAAUGUUUCCUAUCCAAAGCUCGUAUACUAUAAUUGUUUCAUGAACUUAA